CCCACCUGCAGGGUUGUGAGAAUUACAUGGAAUGAGACAUGCAUCAUGUCCUGGGUAGUGCUUGGCAGGUAGCCCUCGUUAUUGUUACAUAAUGAAGCAUUGAGCAGUUACUGAACACCUGCUGUGGGCCCAACACUGUGCUGGGCCUUGUGGAUGAGGCCAACCUGGGACCAGAACAGCCUUUGGCCUCAGGAGGCUCACAGUCUAAGGAGUAGAGGGGCACAUGUGAGGAUGACACCCCCGUACCCCACCCACACCCAGAAUUGCCGUGGAAAGUUUGCUUUGGGGGAUUCAGGGAGCCUGGCCUCACCUGGCCCUAUCUAGAGUUGAGAGGAGGUCUCUAGGCUGAGGGCAAUCCCUGUGCCCCUCCUGCAGGACAGCUAACCCCCGCAUCGGUGACGUGAUCCAGAAGCUGGCCCCCUUCCUGAAGAUGUACAGUGAGUAUGUCAAGAACUUUGAGCGAGCGGCUGAGCUGCUGGCCACCUGGACCGACAAGUCUCCACUCUUCCAGGAGGUUCUCACUCGCAUCCAGGUGAGGCUGGGGGAGGGCUGGAGUCAGCAUUGCACUCCCAGCAUGCAGUGGCUCAGGUUGCCUUGAGUGAUUCCGGGCAUCUCCCAGGCUCAGCUGCUUCCAUAGGCCCCUGCCUACUCGUCUGGCCCUCAGGAGCAGCCUGACCCACCUCCCUUCUCUCACCCUCUCCGUGUUGCUCCCCCAUCCCUCCCCAAGAGCAGCGAGGCUUCGGGCAGCCUGACCCUGCAGCACCACAUGCUGGAACCAGUGCAGAGAAUUCCACGUUACGAGCUGCUGCUCAAGGAGUACAUCCAGAAGCUGCCAGCCCAGGCCCCAGACCAGGCCGAUGCCCAGAAAGCCCUGGACAUGAUCUUCUCAGCUGCCCAGCACUCCAAUGCAGCCAUCACUGAGAUGGAGCGGCUGCAGGACCUGUGGGAGGUGUACCAGCGCCUGGGCCUCGAGGACGACAUAGUAGACCCCUCUAACACCCUGCUCCGUGAGGGCCCGGUCCUCAAGAUCUCCUUCCGCCGCAACGACCCCAUGGAGCGCUACCUUUUCUUGUUCAACAACAUGCUGCUCUACUGUGUGCCCAGGGUGAUCCAGGUGGGCGCCCAGUUCCAGGUGAGGACCCGCAUCGAUGUGGCCGGGAUGAAGGUGCGGGAGCUGAUGGAUGCUGAGUUUCCCCACUCCUUCCUGGUGUCCGGGAAGCAGCGCACCCUGGAGCUGCAAGCCCGGUCCCAGGA
Molecule: small RNA, 1254 nt
Filed under: Pan troglodytes (chimpanzee)
Lineage: Eukaryota; Metazoa; Chordata; Mammalia; Primates; Hominidae
Description: retained intron
Source: RNAcentral